Molecule: ribosomal RNA, 253 nt
Filed under: uncultured prokaryote
Description: partial 16S ribosomal RNA
Rfam family: Bacterial small subunit ribosomal RNA
Source: RNAcentral
UACGUAGGCAGCGAGCGUUGUUCGGAAUUACUGGGCGUAAAGAGUGCGUAGGCGGUGCUCUAAGUCUGUCGUGAAAUCUCCCGGCUCAACUGGGAGGGUGCGGCGGAAACUAGAGUGCUAGAGUGUGGGAGAGGUAAGCGGAAUUCCUGGUGUAGCGGUGAAAUGCGUAGAUAUCAGGAGGAACACCUGCGGUGUAGACAGCUUACUGGACCACGACUGACGCUGAGGCACGAAAGCGUGGGUAGCAAACAGG